Molecule: non-coding RNA, 1609 nt
Organism: Microcebus murinus (gray mouse lemur)
Lineage: Eukaryota; Metazoa; Chordata; Mammalia; Primates; Cheirogaleidae
Source: RefSeq, a predicted model, not a curated record
UAUAACAGGGAGGGGAAAAUCACAUGAAGCGCUGACUGCAAACUCUCAGGCAGGGAACUGCCUUUGCUUCUGAACACACCUUAUAUGGGUAUGUUUGGUUAUGAAAAUGAGACCCACUGGGCAUAGCGUGGCUGGGCUAGGAAUGAAACAAAAAAAUGUUUCUCUACAUUAUAGAAGAAAAAGAUACUGGUGUGGUGACCCAGAAAGAGGAAGAUUCUGGAAAGGAGGCUAUGAGCAAGGGGGUGGGGACAAGGCCCAGCAAAUGGCAAGAGGCUGGGACUCCGGGGAGAAAUGGCCACUGAGAAGCUCUGAGGGAUGGGAAAGGCCAAAGAACUUUAGAACAGAGACAACUGAUGUCCAGUGAGGAGACAGUUUCCUCAUGGACCAGGGAGCAGAUGGCUGUAUUGCAGACACGUUUGUCCUGGAGCCCUCCUCUUCACAUACGUGCAGCCUCUCUCUCCUGGGUGCCGGCUCUCUUCCAGACCUCCCUUUCCCUAGCAUUCCUAUUGCUGUGCUUGGAAUGCCAAGUCCCUGACCCUUCAGUUGCAAUGGUACUUUCAAGAAACCUCAUUUCAGGGGGAGUAGUGAGCAAUGUUGUUGCCCCCACCCAGAUCCCUUUUCUUCUUUGCCGUUUUUGUGCACACUCCCUCACCCCUUUCCUGUGCACGUGCUUCUAAUUCACAGCAUCGAAGCUCUUUGGAGAACUACCUGUAGGAUAGCAGAGCCUGUGCCGAGAGCCUGGAAAUUUAUUCUCUACAUCCUUGUUUGUGGCCCUUGAUUAAUGGCCUGCAAGUGAGAUCAUAUCUGACUCAGCCUUCCACCCACCAGGGCAAUUCCCAUCUUCGACCUCUGCCCUCAGCAAAGAAGUGGAUGGAGGUGGUCUUCAGGGCAGGACUGAAUCCAAGGAGCACUGACAAGGGAAGCUUGGCUAUCUCUCUAGGAGGAAGAAGAGAGAAAGUACCCUUUUAUUUAUUUGGGGAUGAAACUAAUUAAGGAAGACAUUAAUAAUCCAAUAAAAUUCCCCCUCACAUACAACAUUGCAUGCAACCCCAGGACUCCAGGUUAGAUACACCUGAAUUAAAGGGAAGGAAGUAAGAGAGCAAGCUAUCACCCAUCCUACUUCUACCAGCCUGUGAUCAGGACACUCGACUCUAGAACAAAAAUGCUUCCCCUUGAUCUGGAAUUUCUAUUUUGUGCCAAUGGCUUCUCUUUCAUCCAAUAACAAAACACACUUUAGUUGAAAGAUAAAAUGAGGCAAGAAUUAUAGAACCUUUGGUUUUACCAAAGUAUCCAAUUAAUAAGCAAGAACAUGACGUUGGUGCCAUGAUUUUUUAUCAUCUUGGUAUCAUAUAGCUAUUAUGACAACACUUGUUGAAUCUAUAAUUCAGAAGUUUGGCUCCUGAGUUGGACACCCUCUGAGUUGGUAACAGGCCUUGGGAAAAAUAUUGUAGCCAGGUGAUGCCAAUGGUAAAUGUUUCCAGCAAUCAGAUGGUAGCACAGGGAUGGGACCAUCAUCUUCCCAUGGAUAGGAAACAUGGAUUAGUCAUCUUUAUAUACCUAGCAAAUAGCAUAACACCUUGUACUAACAUUAUUAAUAAUGAAUGUUAAA